AACGAACGCUGGCGGCAUGCCUAACACAUGCAAGUCGAACGAGAACUUCGGGUCUUGUGGCCAACGGGUGCGUCAGGCGUGGGAACCUUCCCUCAGGUUCGGACUAACUCCCCGAAAGGGGUGCUAAUACCGGACAAUGUCUUCGGACCAAAGAUUUAUCGCCUUUGAAGGGUCACGCGUUGGAUUAGCUAGUUGGUAGGGUAAAAGCCUACCAAGGCGACGAUCCAUAGCUGGUCUGAGAGGAAGAUCAGCCACACUGGGAGUGAGACACGGCCCAGACUCCUACGGGAGGCAGCAGUGGGGAAUAUUGGACAAUGGGCGAAGGCCUGAUCCAGCAAGGCCGCGUGAGUGAUGAAGGCCUGAGGGUUGUAAAGCUCUUUUACCCGGGAUGAUAAUGACAGUACCGGGAGAAUAAGCUCCGGCUAACUCCGUG
Molecule: ribosomal RNA, 433 nt
Filed under: uncultured bacterium
Lineage: Bacteria
Description: partial 16S ribosomal RNA
Rfam family: Bacterial small subunit ribosomal RNA
Source: RNAcentral